RNAcentral lists this ribosomal RNA (253 nucleotides) under uncultured bacterium. Its description in RNAcentral is "partial 16S ribosomal RNA". It matches the Rfam family "Bacterial small subunit ribosomal RNA", at positions 524 to 776 of the family's 1533-position model. The record is from RNAcentral.
UACGGAGGGUGCAAACGUUGCUCGGAAUCAUUGGGCGUAAAGCGCACGUAGGCGGCGCGUUAAGUCGGGUGUGAAAGCCCUGGGCUCAACCCAGGAAGUGCAUUCGAAACUGGCGCGCUUGAAUAUGGAAGAGGGUCGCGGAAUUCCCGGUGUAGAGGUGAAAUUCGUAGAUAUCGGGUGGAACACCUGUGGCGAAGGCGGCCAUCUGGACGUUCACUGACGCUGAGACGCGAAAGCGUGGGUAGCAAACAGG